This 722-nucleotide ribosomal RNA is filed under the name uncultured beta proteobacterium. Its description in RNAcentral is "bacterial SSU rRNA". It matches the Rfam family "Bacterial small subunit ribosomal RNA", at positions 42 to 757 of the family's 1533-position model. Lineage: Bacteria; Pseudomonadati; Pseudomonadota; Betaproteobacteria. The record is from RNAcentral.
GCAUGCCUUACACAUGCAAGUCGAACGGCAGCACGGGUGCUUGCACCUGGUGGCGAGUGGCGAACGGGUGAGUAAUACAUCGGAACAUGUCCUGUAGUGGGGGAUAGCCCGGCGAAAGCCGGAUUAAUACCGCAUACGAUCUAUGGAUGAAAGCGGGGGACCUUCGGGCCUCGCGCUAUAGGGUUGGCCGAUGGCUGAUUAGCUAGUUGGUGGGGUAAAGGCCUACCAAGGCGACGAUCAGUAGCUGGUCUGAGAGGACGACCAGCCACACUGGGACUGAGACACGGCCCAGACUCCUACGGGAGGCAGCAGUGGGGAAUUUUGGACAAUGGGCGAAAGCCUGAUCCAGCAAUGCCGCGUGUGUGAAGAAGGCCUUCGGGUUGUAAAGCACUUUUGUCCGGAAAGAAAUCCUUGGUUCUAAUAUAGCCGGGGGAUGACGGUACCGGAAGAAUAAGCACCGGCUAACUACGUGCCAGCAGCCGCGGUAAUACGUAGGGUGCGAGCGUUAAUCGGAAUUACUGGGCGUAAAGCGUGCGCAGGCGGUUUGCUAAGACCGAUGUGAAAUCCCCGGGCUCAACCUGGGAACUGCAUUGGUGACUGGCAGGCUAGAGUAUGGCAGAGGGGGGUAGAAUUCCACGUGUAGCAGUGAAAUGCGUAGAGAUGUGGAGGAAUACCGAUGGCGAAGGCAGCCCCCUGGGCCAAUACUGACGCUCAUGCACGAA